UCGAGAAUCUUCCGCAAUGGGGGCAACCCUGACGGAGCGACGCCGCGUGCGGGAUGAAGGCCUUCGGGUUGUAAACCGCUGUCACAGGUUAAGAAUCGGCCUAGUCUUAAUAGGGUUAGGUCCUGACAAAGGCCUGAGAGGAAGCCACGGCUAACUUCGUGCCAGCAGCCGCGGUAAGACGAAGGUGGCAACCGUUGUUCGGAAUCACUGGGCAUAAAGCGCACGUAGGCGGGAGAGCAAGUCGGGUGUGAAAUCCCUCGGCCCAACCGAGGAACUGCGCCCGAAACUGCUUUUCUUGAGGGCAGCAGGGGAGCGUGGAAUUCCUGGUGGAGCGGUGAAAUGCGUUGAUAUCAGGAGGAACACCGGCGGCGAAGGCGACGCUCUGGGCUGUUUCUGACGCUGAGGUGCGAAAGCCAGGGGAGCAAACGGGAUUAGAUACCCCCGUAGUCC
This 450-nucleotide ribosomal RNA is filed under the name uncultured prokaryote. RNAcentral describes it as "bacterial SSU rRNA". It matches the Rfam family "Bacterial small subunit ribosomal RNA", at positions 355 to 796 of the family's 1533-position model. The record is from RNAcentral.